Molecule: ribosomal RNA, 430 nt
Filed under: uncultured bacterium
Lineage: Bacteria
Description: bacterial SSU rRNA
Rfam family: Bacterial small subunit ribosomal RNA
Source: RNAcentral
UAGGGAAUCUUGCGCAAUGGGGGCAACCCUGACGCAGCGAUACCGUGUGAGGGAGGAAGGUCUUCGGAUUGUAAACCUCUGUCAAAAGGGACAAAUGGUGUAGCGAGUAACAUACGCUACACGUGAUGGUACCUUUAAAGGAAGCACCGGCUAACUCCGUGCCAGCAGCCGCGGUAAUACGGAGGGUGCAAGCGUUGUUCGGAAUUAUUGGGCGUAAAGCGCGCGCAGGCGGAAGGAUAAGUCAGGUGUGAAAUCUCGGGGCUCAACCCCGAACGUGCGCCUGAAACUGUUUUUCUAGAAUGCUGGAGGGGGAUGGGGUAUUUCUCAUGUAGGGGUAAAAUCCGUAGAGAUGAGAAGGAACACCUGGGGCGAAGGCGCCAUCCUGGACAGAUAUUGACGCUGAGGCGCGAAAGCGUGGGGAGCAAACAGG